This 899-nucleotide unclassified non-coding RNA is filed under the name Bradyrhizobium sp. RNAcentral's name for it is "partial 16S-23S ribosomal RNA intergenic spacer". The stretch from base 207 to 280 matches the Rfam family "tRNA". Lineage: Bacteria; Pseudomonadati; Pseudomonadota; Alphaproteobacteria; Hyphomicrobiales; Nitrobacteraceae. The record is from RNAcentral.
CGAGAGCUCACGCUCACUAUCGGACCGUUUUAGAAACAUCAGGGGCCAACAGAUCGCCAGAUCGUUGAGCUCCAUUGGCGGGAUUUCGCCGUCUUCGUUUCUCUUUCUUCGCGGACGAACACGCGCCAGGGGCUGCGCUGUACGAUUGGCGCUUGCCGCCGGUCGCACGCGAGCAAGACCCUUGUCCUAGGAAGGAUAUGCGUUAGGGGCUUGUAGCUCAGUUGGUUAGAGCGCGCGCUUGAUAAGCGUGAGGUCGGAAGUUCAAGUCUUCCCAGGCCCACCACUUUCAUCGAGUGUAGGCAUUCGUCUUCUGGUUACGGGGCCAUAGCUCAGCUGGGAGAGCGCGUGCUUUGCAAGCAUGAGGUCGUCGGUUCGAUCCCGUCUGGCUCCACCAGAUGGUUUGAUUGCCGGCGCAGCUUGUACCUAGGUCUUGCACCUAAAUCGUCCGCGAAACAUCACUUCGCACCCACCAGUCCGGAUGGACGGUGAGGUUGCGUGAUUUCUGACAUCGUAAAGAGGAGAUCGAUCCGAGUUGGAUCGUGCAGCAAAUCGUUGCGCGAGCCUUCAUUAUCUCCGGAUCAUUUCGCCGCUCGCUUUCAACCGUGAGGUUGGCGGUGAGUUGUAAAUGAUCCUUUUAGCGAAGCUUGACCGCCUCGCUAUCGGAACGAUCUUACGAAGCAAGCUGGUCUUUCUAGUCAAUGUCCGGCUGCGACAAUCGCGUUCAUCGAGGACGCGCGCCUUCAAUGGCAGUUGCGCAGACAACAUUCUGCCGAGUGUGUGGACAUUGAUAAUGAGAGCAAUCAAGUGCCUUAAGGGUGUUCGGUGGAUGCCUUGGCGCUGAGAGGCGAUGAAGGACGUGCUACGCUGCGAUAAGCCGUGGGAGCUGCGAAGAAGCGACG